UGGAGUAUCCUUCCCAAGUUGCGUGGAUGUGAAGGGACACAACAGUUCCCCUGAUGUACCAUGGGCGACCUACUUGUGAUGUGGACCUGAACCUCCACCAUGUAGCAGACAACCCCCCUCAGGUCUUGGAGUAUCCUUCCCAAGGUGCAGGAACCAGCGUGGAUGUCAAGGGACAAGAUAGUUCCCCUGCUGUACCAUGGGCGACCUACCACAAUACCACUGCAUUUCUGAAAUGCCAUAUUUUACAUUUUAACUAAUAAUUUAAAGAAAAACCACACAAAACUUCUAAUUUUAAAAAUUUAUUGAAGAAUUAAAAUUGUAUUUUUUUGGGGAUUAAAAAUUAAAAUGAAAUAAAAACAAAAAAA
Molecule: long non-coding RNA, 365 nt
Organism: Pseudophryne corroboree (corroboree frog)
Lineage: Eukaryota; Metazoa; Chordata; Amphibia; Anura; Myobatrachidae
Exons: 2
Source: RefSeq, a predicted model, not a curated record